UCUGAUAUUGAGGUUCUGAUAUUGAGGUUCUGCAGUGAGUUUCUGUUAAUGAGGUUCUGCAGUGAGGUUCUGUUAGUGAGGUUCUGCAGUGAGUUUCUGUUAAUGAGGUUCUGCAGUGAGGUUCUGUUAGUGAGGUUCUGCAGUGAGGUUCUGUUAGUGAGGUUUUGUUAGUGAGGUUCUGCAGUGAGGUUCUGUUAGUGAGGUUCUGCAGUGAGGUUCUGUUAGUGAGGUUUUGUUAGUGAGGUUCUGUUAGUGAGGUUCUGCAGUGAGGUUCUGUUAGUGAGGUUUUGUUAGCGAGGUUCUGUUAGUGAGGUUCUGCAGUGAGGUUCUGUUAGUGAGGUUCUGCAGUACUACAGUUGUCUGUAAUGAAGCUCAGUGAACAGCAGAGGGCGCUCUGAUACAACUAAACUACAGAUCAGGUCUGGGAUAAAAAAGCAGAUCCAGAGGCGCCGUUUAAUCUUUAAACACAACAUGAUACAAAAUAAUAAACUGUAAAAAAACUAUAUAAAAUACAGUGAAAAAACCUGAAUUAUAGUAACUAUUUAUUUAUUUAAAAAAAAUCAUAAAUAUAAAUACUAAAUAAAUCACUGUAUAAUACCUCACCCUGAACAUCCCAUAAUCACACACUCCACCCAGAACACGCCCACUGAUUUACAUACCACCAGCUUAACCAAUCAGAACUGAUAUAAAAUAAUCCUGAACAUUAAUAUUUAACUCAAUCAUUUUACUACGAUUUCAUCGCUCUCACACACACACACACACACACACUCACACACACACACACACUCUCACACUCUCACA
This is a long non-coding RNA of Astyanax mexicanus (Mexican tetra), 801 nucleotides long. RefSeq lists it as uncharacterized. The transcript is spliced from 4 exons. The record is from RefSeq and is a predicted model, not a curated record. Lineage: Eukaryota; Metazoa; Chordata; Actinopteri; Characiformes; Acestrorhamphidae.